Oryctolagus cuniculus (rabbit) is the source of this 97-nucleotide small nuclear RNA. Its record names the gene U2. It matches the Rfam family "U2 spliceosomal RNA". Rfam says of the family: U2 is a small nuclear RNA (snRNA) component of the spliceosome (involved in pre-mRNA splicing). Complementary binding between U2 snRNA (in an area lying towards the 5' end but 3' to hairpin I) and the branchpoint sequence (BPS) of the intron results the bulging out of an unpaired adenosine, on the BPS, which initiates a nucleophilic attack at the intronic 5' splice site, thus starting the first of two transesterification reactions that mediate splicing. NCBI's taxonomy places the organism in Eukaryota, Metazoa, Chordata, Mammalia, Lagomorpha, Leporidae. The record is from Ensembl.
AUCGCUUCUUGGCCAUUUGGCUAAGAUCCAGAGUAGUAUCUGUUCCUAUCAGCUGAAUAGAGAGAAAUCUUCCAUCUGCUGGUUCACCGCACCUAAU